This 759-nucleotide ribosomal RNA is filed under the name Escherichia coli. RNAcentral describes it as "partial 23S ribosomal RNA". It matches the Rfam family "Bacterial large subunit ribosomal RNA", at positions 430 to 1191 of the family's 2925-position model. Lineage: Bacteria; Pseudomonadati; Pseudomonadota; Gammaproteobacteria; Enterobacterales; Enterobacteriaceae. The record is from RNAcentral.
UAUCCUGUCUGAAUAUGGGGGGACCAUCCUCCAAGGCUAAAUACUCCUGACUGACCGAUAGUGAACCAGUACCGUGAGGGAAAGGCGAAAAGAACCCCGGCGAGGGGAGUGAAAAAGAACCUGAAACCGUGUACGUACAAGCAGUGGGAGCCUCUUAAUGGGGUGACUGCGUACCUUUUGUAUAAUGGGUCAGCGACUUAUAUUCUGUAGCAAGGUUAACCGAAUAGGGGAGCCGAAGGGAAACCGAGUCUUAACUGGGCGUUAAGUUGCAGGGUAUAGACCCGAAACCCGGUGAUCUAGCCAUGGGCAGGUUGAAGGUUGGGUAACACUAACUGGAGGACCGAACCGACUAAUGUUGAAAAAUUAGCGGAUGACUUGUGGCUGGGGGUGAAAGGCCAAUCAAACCGGGAGAUAGCUGGUUCUCCCCGAAAGCUAUUUAGGUAGCGCCUCGUGAAUUCAUCUCCGGGGGUAGAGCACUGUUUCGGCAAGGGGGUCAUCCCGACUUACCAACCCGAUGCAAACUGCGAAUACCGGAGAAUGUUAUCACGGGAGACACACGGCGGGUGCUAACGUCCGUCGUGAAGAGGGAAACAACCCAGACCGCCAGCUAAGGUCCCAAAGUCAUGGUUAAGUGGGAAACGAUGUGGGAAGGCCCAGACAGCCAGGAUGUUGGCUUAGAAGCAGCCAUCAUUUAAAGAAAGCGUAAUAGCUCACUGGUCGAGUCGGCCUGCGCGGAAGAUGUAACGGGGCUAAACCAUG